UGAGUAUGUUAAAUUGAGUGUCAAUAAGAAUUCCCCAAGAGUGGCUUAUGGGAACAUAGGGUUCAGCCCAGUGGUGUACAGUCCCUUUCCACAAUGUUGGAGAUGAAGCUGGGCUUCGAGUCUGUGCCUGCAUGUUCCUCCGACUUCUCAGAGUCCUGUGGAGGAUGACUGAGGAGACAAAUCAUGAAGGAAACAGUC
RNAcentral lists this small nucleolar RNA (198 nucleotides) under Mus musculus (house mouse). RNAcentral describes it as "small nucleolar RNA SNORA73 (U17b)". The stretch from base 21 to 198 matches the Rfam family "Small nucleolar RNA SNORA73 family". From Rfam's summary of the family: U17 (SNORA73A and SNORA73B) also known as E1 belongs to the H/ACA class of small nucleolar RNAs (snoRNAs). Lineage: Eukaryota; Metazoa; Chordata; Mammalia; Rodentia; Muridae. The record is from RNAcentral.